CAGUCAGCGCCCUACGUUGUUAUCUUAAACAAAAUACACAGACCACAGAGACGGAAUGUACUGGGGGUGAAACCCAGUGCUUCUCAGUUACGUUGAAUACCCUCUACAAGGGAUGCGCAACUGAUACUCGGUGUGACGAAAUGCUGAGCUCGAAAAUUGGCCGUGACAAAUCUUGCUGUGAAACCAACUUGUGCAACAAGUGAGCACACCAAUUGGCUGCAGUGCCUUGGCUGAAAUGCAUCAUUCUAAAGAAAGUGCAGAUAUCUCCUGAUCAUCUCCAGAUAUUGUGUUCAUCCUUCUAUUGUACAGCACUGCGGCACAUGUUGGGCUUUUUAGCAUUAUAAUAAAAUGAAAGCAUAAUAAUA
Long non-coding RNA from Xenopus laevis (African clawed frog), 365 nucleotides. RefSeq lists it as uncharacterized. Lineage: Eukaryota; Metazoa; Chordata; Amphibia; Anura; Pipidae. The transcript is spliced from 2 exons. The record is from RefSeq and is a predicted model, not a curated record.